UAAAAUACUAUGAAUUGGUAGAGUAAGCUAUAAAGUGUAUUACAGAGAGGGUUCUAUGGUGAAAAGAACCUAUACAAAUAUAGCCCAAGUGCACCAAGGAGUUUAAAGUCGAAGAAAAGUAGACUUAUAGGGUUGUUCCCCUUAUAGAACUAAGGUAGAUAUACCUUAAUGAGCUGGGAGUUUCUCCUAAGCAGAGUGGAACCGCGAAAAAACCUUUUGCCUCUGUA
This 227-nucleotide non-coding RNA is filed under the name Tissierella creatinophila. RNAcentral describes it as "T-box sequence". It matches the Rfam family "T-box leader". From Rfam's summary of the family: Uncharged tRNA acts as the effector for transcription antitermination of genes in the T-box leader family. T-boxes are found upstream of many aminoacyl-tRNA synthetase genes and some amino acid biosynthetic genes usually in Gram-positive bacteria. Lineage: Bacteria; Bacillati; Bacillota; Tissierellia; Tissierellales; Tissierellaceae. The record is from RNAcentral.